UAGGGAAUAUUGGACAAUGGGCGCAAGCCUGAUCCAGCCAUGCCGCGUGAGUGAAGAAGGCCCUCGGGUUGUAAAGCUCUUUUGUCCGGAAAGAAAAGCAUCGGGCUAAUACCCUGGUGUUCUGACGGUACCGGAAGAAUAAGCACCGGCUAACUUCGUGCCAGCAGCCGCGGUAAUACGAAGGGUGCAAGCGUUACUCGGAAUUACUGGGCGUAAAGCGUGCGUAGGUGGUUUGUUAAGUCUGAUGUGAAAGCCCUGGGCUCAACCUGGGAAUGGCAUUGGAAACUGGCGGACUCGAGUGCGGUAGAGGGGUGUGGAAUUCCCGGUGUAGCAGUGAAAUGCGUAGAGAUCGGGAGGAACACCAGUGGCGAAGGCGACACCCUGGACCAGCACUGACACUGAGGCACGAAAGCGUGGGGAGCAAACAGGAUUAGAUACCCUGGUAGUCCACGCCCUAAACGAUGCGAACUGGAUGUUGGGUGCAACUUGGCACUCAGUAUCGAAGCUAACGCGUUAAGUUCGCCGCCUGGGGAGUACGGUCGCAAGACUGAAACUUAAAUGAAUUGACGGGGUCAUAGCUGUUUCC
This 586-nucleotide ribosomal RNA is filed under the name uncultured bacterium. RNAcentral describes it as "partial 16S ribosomal RNA". It matches the Rfam family "Bacterial small subunit ribosomal RNA", at positions 355 to 937 of the family's 1533-position model. The record is from RNAcentral.